Long non-coding RNA from Fukomys damarensis (Damara mole-rat), 343 nucleotides. RefSeq lists it as uncharacterized. The record is from RefSeq and is a predicted model, not a curated record. Lineage: Eukaryota; Metazoa; Chordata; Mammalia; Rodentia; Bathyergidae. The transcript has 3 exons.
GUAGCCCAGGCUGAUCUUGAACUCACAGCGAUCAUCCUGCCUCAGCCUCCUGAGUGCUGGCCUAAGUAAUAAUUUUCAUAAAGGUAAAGACAGCUUUCCUCCACAACCAGGAAUAUGGAGACAUGCAGGACCCCACUGGGCACAGACGGGUGCUGGGAAGUGAGUGCCAGGACCACCUUUACAGAGAACAAACCUCAGAAGUCACAUGACCGGCUGCCCACAUCACAUGGCCACCUCCCAGAGUGCUGCAUCUCUUGAUUGCAUGAAGAGGUCACGUCGAGGGCCAGGGAUUUAGCUCAGCAGUUCGGUGGCCUGCCUUACAAGCACAAGGACCCAAGUUCAA